Molecule: ribosomal RNA, 468 nt
Filed under: uncultured bacterium
Lineage: Bacteria
Description: partial 16S ribosomal RNA
Rfam family: Bacterial small subunit ribosomal RNA
Source: RNAcentral
GACGAACGCUGGCGGCGUGCUUAACACAUGCAAGUCGAACGGAAAGGCCCUGCUUUUGUGGGGUGCUCGAGUGGCGAACGGGUGAGUAACACGUGAGUAACCUGCCCUUGACUUUGGGAUAACUUCAGGAAACUGGGGCUAAUACCGGAUAGGAGCUCCUGCUGCAUGGUGGGGGUUGGAAAGUUUCGGCGGUUGGGGAUGGACUCGCGGCUUAUCAGCUUGUUGGUGGGGUAGUGGCUUACCAAGGCUUUGACGGGUGGCCGGCCUGAGAGGGUGACCGGCCACAUUGGGACUGAGAUACGGCCCAGACUCCUACGGGAGGCAGCAGUGGGGAAUAUUGCACAAUGGGCGGGAGCCUGAUGCAGCAACGCCGCGUGCGGGAUGACGGCCUUCGGGUUGUAAACCGCUUUCGCCUGUGACGAAGCGUGAGUGACGGUAAUGGGUAAAGAAGCACCGGCUAACUACGUG